This 1493-nucleotide ribosomal RNA is filed under the name uncultured bacterium. Its description in RNAcentral is "bacterial SSU rRNA". It matches the Rfam family "Bacterial small subunit ribosomal RNA". The record is from RNAcentral.
GAGAGUUUGAUCCUGGCUCAGGAUGAACGCUAGCUACAGGCUUAACACAUGCAAGUCGAGGGGCAGCAUGGUCUUAGCUUGCUAAGGCCGAUGGCGACCGGCGCACGGGUGAGUAACGCGUAUCCAACCUGCCUUACACUCUUGGACAGCCUUCUGGAAGGGAGAUUAAUACAAGAUGUUAUCAUGAGUAAGCAUUUUCGCAUGAUUAAAGGUUUACCGGUGUAAGAUGGGGAUGCGUUCCAUUAGAUAGUAGGCGGGGUAACGGCCCACCUAGUCUUCGAUGGAUAGGGGUUCUGAGAGGAAGGUCCCCCACAUUGGAACUGAGACACGGUCCAAACUCCUACGGGAGGCAGCAGUGAGGAAUAUUGGUCAAUGGACGAGAGUCUGAACCAGCCAAGUAGCGUGAAGGAUGAAGGUUCUAUGGAUUGUAAACUUCUUUUAUACGGGAAUAAACGGAUCCACGCGUGGAUUUUUGCAUGUACCGUAUGAAUAAGGAUCGGCUAACUCCGUGCCAGCAGCCGCGGUAAUACGGAGGAUCCGAGCGUUAUCCGGAUUUAUUGGGUUUAAAGGGAGCGUAGAUGGGUUGUUAAGUCAGUUGUGAAAGUUUGCGGCUCAACCGUAAAAUUGCAAUUGAUACUGGCAGUCUUGAGUACAGUUGAGGUAGGCGGAAUUCGUGGUGUAGCGGUGAAAUGCUUAGAUAUCACGAAGAACUCCGAUUGCGAAGGCAGCUUACUAACCUGUAACUGACAUUGAUGCUCGAAAGUGUGGGUAUCAAACAGGAUUAGAUACCCUGGUAGUCCACACGGUAAACGAUGAAUACUCGCUGUAGGCGAUAUACAGUCUGCGGCCAAGCGAAAGCAUUAAGUAUUCCACCUGGGGAGUACGCCGGCAACGGUGAAACUCAAAGGAAUUGACGGGGGCCCGCACAAGCGGAGGAACAUGUGGUUUAAUUCGAUGAUACGCGAGGAACCUUACCCGGGCUUAAAUUGCAACCGAAUAUGGCGGAAACGCUAUAGCUAGCAAUAGCGGUUGUGAAGGUGCUGCAUGGUUGUCGUCAGCUCGUGCCGUGAGGUGUCGGCUUAAGUGCCAUAACGAGCGCAACCCUUGCCGAUAGUUACUAACAGGUUAUGCUGAGGACUCUGUCGGGACUGCCAUCGUAAGAUGUGAGGAAGGUGGGGAUGACGUCAAAUCAGCACGGCCCUUACGUCCGGGGCUACACACGUGUUACAAUGGGGGGUACAGAGGGCUGCUACCACGCAAGUGGAUGCCAAUCCCAAAAACCUCUCUCAGUUCGGAUUGAAGUCUGCAACCCGACUUCAUGAAGCUGGAUUCGCUAGUAAUCGCGCAUCAGCCACGGCGCGGUGAAUACGUUCCCGGGCCUUGUACACACCGCCCGUCAAGCCAUGGGAGCCGGGGGUACCUGAAGUGCGUAACCGCAAGGAGCGCCCUAGGGUAAAACUGGUGACUGGGGCUAAGUCGUAACAAGGUAGCCG